UACGAAGGGGGCUAGCGUUGCUCGGAAUCACUGGGCGUAAAGCGCACGUAGGCGGAUUGUUAAGUCAGGGGUGAAAUCCUGGAGCUCAACUCCAGAACUGCCUUUGAUACUGGCGAUCUUGAGUCCGGAAGAGGUGAGUGGAACUCCGAGUGUAGAGGUGAAAUUCGUAGAUAUUCGGAAGAACACCAGUGGCGAAGGCGGCUCACUGGCCCGGUACUGACGCUGAUGUGCGAAAGCGUGGGGAGCAAACAGG
Molecule: ribosomal RNA, 253 nt
Filed under: uncultured bacterium
Lineage: Bacteria
Description: partial 16S ribosomal RNA
Rfam family: Bacterial small subunit ribosomal RNA
Source: RNAcentral